RNAcentral lists this non-coding RNA (275 nucleotides) under Neustupella aerophytica. The record is from RNAcentral. Lineage: Eukaryota; Eustigmatophyceae; Eustigmatales; Chlorobotryaceae.
GGGGCUGUUAUACGGUUUUCGACGGUUGAAAUAUAUGUAAACUAAUUAAACAAUGUUUAAAUUCAAUUUCUAAACAAAGCAAGCUUGUUUUGCUUAGCUUUCUGAGAAUUUUACUACCGAAAAGGUUUAUAAUUUUAAAAACUAAUUUUAGAAAAUAUUUAUAAAUAUUUUCUAAAUAGUAAUAAUUAUAAUUGUAUAUAUUAAACUUUAAUUGUAUACUAAAUAAAAUAGUUUUAGUUUUCAAUCGGAUGUAGGUUCAACUCCUACCAGCUCCA